Etheostoma spectabile (orangethroat darter) is the source of this 287-nucleotide long non-coding RNA. RefSeq lists it as uncharacterized. The record is from RefSeq and is a predicted model, not a curated record. NCBI's taxonomy places the organism in Eukaryota, Metazoa, Chordata, Actinopteri, Perciformes, Percidae. The transcript has 2 exons.
ACCACUGUGGAAUUGGCCUGCUCAAAGAAAGAUGCACUAAUGAUUCCAGAAAAGAGGAAGCCAUAGAAGAAGACCUACACAGACUUUCGAAAUGGUGAAGGAGAGAUACCACACAUCCUUCCUGCCGCUGUCAGACUUUAUAAUCAACACUGCUCCAAGUACACCACAUGCACCAUAUGUGACAAUUUACUCAUGUGGAACAUCAAUGUACACUUUCUUAUGCAAUAUCAGUAACUCCUCUGUGCAAUACUGUGAAUACCGUGUUGUUAAACUCUCUGUCUGUAUAC